This is a non-coding RNA of Danio rerio (zebrafish), 899 nucleotides long. The record is from RefSeq and is a predicted model, not a curated record. NCBI's taxonomy places the organism in Eukaryota, Metazoa, Chordata, Actinopteri, Cypriniformes, Danionidae.
UUCAACUUUCUCUGUAUUUCUGUGACACUGUGUCUUUCCUUUUUUUUCAAUAGCGACUUCAUUAACUUGUACAGGAUUUACUUUAGUGAGAUGAUGUUGGGAUAGAUACUUUUUCUUGUUUUGACGCUCUGUUUCAUUUGCACAGGCAACAUUGACCUUGUCCAAUAGAAGUUCAUCGCUCACCUCAUUUCUUGUGAGGGAAACAAAACUGGUCGAGAGGGCACUUGAUUUAGUCUUUCUUGCUCUACAUUUUCUGCUACCUGGUCUAAGGCCCCUCUUAUUGAUGUGUGAGGUGUUUGUUUUUCUGGAUCACUGUUUCCAAACUGAAUUUCACAAAUUUUAUCUUUUAAGCACAAAAGCUCUGACAUACCAGCAUCUUCAAGCUCUUCUAAUGUCUCUCUCUCAAUGUGUUUUACAAUCAAAGAAAUGAGUGCUGAACGACUUUUGUUGACAGCAUUUUCACACUUAACUUCCAGAAAGUGACAUAAUUCAAGAAGGUUUCCUUUUGAGAGAGCAUAUAAUGCUCCUAUAACCUCAAGCUUCAAGUCCUCUAAGGAAUCCAUAGGUUGCUCAGUCUUUGGAAAUGUGCAGUGCAAUGUAUGUGUGCAAUGUCCGUAGCUGGCUGGAAUCUUGCAGCAAUCCUGAUACUGUAAGUUGAUCUCAGAUUGAAUGCACUUUUGUCCGAACACAACAGGGACCGUGGACACCCUCACUUCACUGAUCUCCUAGGCUGAGUAAGAAGAUGAAUGGCACUGAAGGACAACUGUCAUCACUCGAAGCCGACCCACACUGCAUCCAUCCCAGCGGUGCCUCCAAAAUGUAGCGCCCUCACCGCCUGAUGAGGGACAAUAAUGUUAAUAAAAACACAGGAAACACGGAGCUGCUGCUGCUUCACGUCA